UAGGGAAUAUUGGACAAUGGAGGAAACUCUGAUCCAGCCAUGCCGCGUGAUAGAUGAAGGCCCUCUGGGUUGUAAAUAUCUUUUAUCUGGGAAGAAACUCCUCUAUUCUUAGAGGCCUGACGGUACCAGAGGAAUAAGCACCGGCUAACUCCGUGCCAGCAGCCGCGGUAAUACGGAGGGUGCAAGCGUUAUCCGGAUUCACUGGGUUUAAAGGGUGCGUAGGCGGGUUGAUAAGUCAGUGGUGAAAGCUCCGAGCUUAACUUGGAAACUGCCAUUGAUACUGUCAGUCUUGAAUGUCGUAGAGGUAAGCGGAAUGUUGCAUGUAGCGGUGAAAUGCUUAGAUAUGUUACAGAACACCAAUUGCGAAGGCAGCUUACUAUGCGAUGAUUGACGCUGAGGCACGAAAGCGUGGGGAGCAAACAGG
This 424-nucleotide ribosomal RNA is filed under the name uncultured bacterium. RNAcentral's name for it is "bacterial SSU rRNA". It matches the Rfam family "Bacterial small subunit ribosomal RNA", at positions 355 to 776 of the family's 1533-position model. The record is from RNAcentral.